Molecule: ribosomal RNA, 468 nt
Filed under: uncultured bacterium
Lineage: Bacteria
Description: partial 16S ribosomal RNA
Rfam family: Bacterial small subunit ribosomal RNA
Source: RNAcentral
GACGAACGCUGGCGGCGUGCCUAACACAUGCUAGUCGAACGGAAAGACCCUGCUCUUGCGGCGCGCACGUGAGGCGCACGGGUGAGUAACACGUGUGUAACCCCUCCCUGUAUUUGGGAUAACUCCUCGAAAAUCGGGCUCAUACCCGAUAGGAGAUCUUGCUGCACGGUGGGGGUUGGAAAGUUUCGGUGGUGGGGGCUAGACUAGCGGCUUAUGAGCUUGUUGGUGAGGUAGUGGCGUACCAAGUCUUCGAAGGGUAGGCGGCCUGGGAGGGGGAACGGCCACAAUGGGACUGAGAGACGGACCAGACGCCUACGGGAGGCAGCAGGGGGAAGUAUGACGCAGUGGGCGGAAGCCAGAGACAGCAACGCCGCGUGCGGGAAAACGUCCUUCGGGUUAUAAACCGCUUUCGCCUGUGACGAGGCGUGAGUGACGGUAAUGGAUAAAGAAGCACCGGCUAACUACGUG